This 77-nucleotide transfer RNA is filed under the name Enterococcus avium. RNAcentral describes it as "tRNA-Tyr". It matches the Rfam family "tRNA". Rfam says of the family: Transfer RNA (tRNA) molecules are approximately 80 nucleotides in length. Their secondary structure includes four short double-helical elements and three loops (D, anti-codon, and T loops). RNAcentral also lists the same sequence under 7 other names. The record is from RNAcentral. Lineage: Bacteria; Bacillati; Bacillota; Bacilli; Lactobacillales; Enterococcaceae.
GAGUAGCGAAGUGGCUAAACGCGACGGACUGUAAAUCCGUUCCUUAGGGUUCAGUGGUUCGAAUCCACUCUCCUCCA